RNAcentral lists this long non-coding RNA (6518 nucleotides) under Sus scrofa (pig). RNAcentral's name for it is "lncRNA (ENSSSCG00050055751.1)". Lineage: Eukaryota; Metazoa; Chordata; Mammalia; Artiodactyla; Suidae. The record is from RNAcentral.
GCAUAUGGAAUUUCUCAGGCUAGGGGUCUAAUCGGAACUGUAGCUGCCAGCCUACACCACAGCCACAGCAAUGUGAGAUUGGAACCACAUCUGCAACUUACACCACAGCUCACGGCAACACCAGAUCCUUAACCCACUGAGCAAGGCCAGGGAUUGAACCUGCAUCCUCAUGGUUACUAGUCAGGUUCGUUACCACUGAGCUACAACGUGAACUCCCUGGGGGAAAAUUUUUAAUCACUAAUUUAAUUUCUUUACUUGUUAUUCAUCAGUUCAUUUUUUCUUCUUGAAUUAGUAUUGGUAAUUGAUAUCUUUUUAGGACUUUUUCCUUUUCAUCUAAUUGAUAUAAUUUAUAAUAUAGUAUAAAAAAUCUGGAUCUUGAUUUUCGCACUAAAAGUUUAUAUUGCUCUUUACUUGUUCAUUAACUUACCUAGGCUAAAUCUGUGAAGUCUGCAUUCCCUGACAUUUAUGGAUACAAUUGUUCAGCUCAAUUUUUUAAACAAAUUAUUUAUUUACUUAUAUUCUUGGUUUUAUUUAAAUUCUGACUUCCUAGGGGACCUUCUGUGACUGAAUAGCUUAAUGGUUAGAUAAUGAUUCUACAGAGGUUAUAAUGACAACCUUGAAGCAGCAAAAGCCCAUCUUCUGCCAAUGAAUCUGUGUACAGGUAGGUGAGGACAUUCACAUUCAGAUCAUUUCUAAUCCUGCCCAGUCUCUUAGAUUUCACUGGCUCUUUUGGGUCUCCUCUGUGCAGCCUCAAAGUUGGCCAGGAUUAUGUGAAAUUAUCAGAGAAGUCUGAUCUCCACUUCUCAUACAUUCAUCCUCAGCCAGGAAUAGACUUGCCCCACACACAGCAGUAACCUAAGGAUAGUAGAGACAUUGGUCCUGGCCUGUUCAUCUGCCUCUGAAAAUAUUAGCCCCAUCCCUCUAUCACAGAAAAGAAAAUGCUGGUCCUUAUGGCCUUCCUUAUCCUGGCAGAACCCCUGCCUCAACUGAACACAGAUGUGGGCCAGAACACCACAAAUUCCCACUAUUCUUACUCAAAUUUCGUCAGUUUUUCCAUAAUACAUGCUUCCAAAAUUCUAAACCAUGGGUAGAUUUACAGAACAUUGAAAUGAUGUUAUUCUGUCAAUUUUUUCCAGCUCUGUAGCUGCUUUUUGUGAAAAAGAUUUGUAGUCUCUCUGUAGACUGUAACGGGAAGUACCACUUUGAAAUGCUUUUUAAAAAUCAGAGUUAGUAAUGCAAGAGAAAAAAAAAAACACUUGGCUUAUUUUCUGAUUAAAUCUGUUCUAUUGCUCUUUAAGAACUCUUGAUUUAUUUUUCAGAUUUCUCGAAGAUGCUAAUUUUAUUUUUCUAGGUUUUUAAAGUAAAGUUUAGUGCACUAAAUUGGUACUAUGGUACUGUUUCCUGUAGCAGUUUCUAAUCUUGGGUUUCUGUCCUGCAAAUUGUGAUCCUCUGUAUCCUCUUCUAUUUCUCCAAUUUGGAAGGCACCAGUUUGCCCCAUGACCUCAAUUCUCAAUUCUCUGAUGGAUAUAAGGAAAUUUAUUGAUUUUCAUUUUGUUCAGUUAUUCCUUUGUUGUGAAGACAGAAAUGAUGUCUUCUAAAAUCCCUAUCCACUGGGCCAGAUAUUGGAAGUCCAUCUACAUAUUUUUGUUUUUCAUAAAACAGGGAUAUAAAAUCUAUAAUAUGAAAAAUAAAUAUUACAAUCAUUUACUUAUUUCUUCCUUUUUUUCUUGAAUUUUACUAUGACAUUGCAGACAUCUACCAGUCAACAUCUCCAAAUUUUCUUUAAGUACUAAAGAGAGAACAUGUGCCUUGGUAUGUGUUAGGAUUUUCUAAAAAGGGAUAUUGUUUUGCUGUUACCUCAUGCCUACCAAGGGUCAUGUCAUUGUUAUGCUUCAUCUGCGAUGUUCAGCCUAUUUACAAGAAUAACAUAGUCCUAGUUUUCUCCACCUCCAUAGUAUGUAAUUUUGGGGGACAAGUUAUCACUACUUUAAUUAAGGUAUUUCUCCCUUUCUUUUAUCAUGUAUUAGUAACUGUCUUCUGUUACUUCCUCUCCUAAAACUAGCUUUUAAUUUAGCAUCUCCAUAAUCCUCUUCUUAAUCAUUUUCCUGCACUUUUUAUAAAAACUAGCUUCUGUUCCUCCUAAUACUCUUAAAACCAAAUGUAUUCAUUAUAAGUAUAUGCCAAGUGUUUUACUCCUUCAUUAGACCUAGUUAGUCAUGCUUCAGCUUUUAUAUAUAUAAAUGCAUAUUAUAUUUUCAAAAAUUAGUUUGCUUUUGUUUUUCCUUUGUAUUAUAAUUGGGACAUUGCAUUUUUGAAGUUAUGUGUAAAAGUAUGUUAGAUUAUAAAUUCUAUUUCAGGGUCAUUAUAAAAUGUUGGUUAUAGGAGUUGUUGAGUCUGAUAGGGUAGAGAAUCAGUGAUAUGAUGAAUUAAAUGAUACCUUUCUUAUUGUAGCCUAAUUAUCUUAAUUUCCUUUACAUAUGGUAAAAAUGUUAGAGGUCUAAUUCAACUGUUUACAUAAAGGUAUUGCUACUAAAUAAGAAAAAUGUUUUUAAAGUUUAGUUUUUAAAUUUUUUUUGUGUUAGGUCUAACAAGCUGUUUUAACCAAAUUCUAUUAUUUACCUGGAUGAAUAACAGAGACAACUGGUUGGCUACCUCAUAACCAUUCUCCACUUUCUUCCUUACUAAUAAUAACAACCCAAAUUUUAGUUCUAGUGACCAUUGGCUUCAACAAGUCUAACUGCUUACCCCCUGCAUCAAGAUACAGAGGGGAUGAUAACCAUUUUAAUAUAUAUAUUUUUUUGUCUUUUUGUCUUUCUAGGGCUGUAACCAUGGCAUAUGGAGGUUCCCAGGCUACAGGUCCAAUCUGAGCUAUAGCUGCUGGCCUACACCACAGCCACAGCAACGUGGGAUCCGAGCCACAUCUGUGACCUACACCAUAGCUCAUGGCAAUCCUGGAUCCUUAACCCCCAGAGCAAGGCCAGGGAUUGAACCCAUGUCCUCAUGGAUGCUAGUCAAGUUUGUUAACCAUUGAGUCACGAUGGGAAUUCUCAUUUUAAUAUAAAUUUAUAUUGAAAUAUAAUAAUAUUGGGAGUUCCUGUCAUGGCGCAGCAGAAACGAAUCUGACUAGGAACCAUGAGGUUGAGGGGUUGAUCCCUGGCCUCUCUCAGUGGGUUAAGGAUCCAGCGUUACCAUGAGCUGUGGUGUAGGUCGCAGAUGUGGCUUGGAUCUGGCAUUGCUGUGGUUGUGGUGUAGGCCGGUGGCUGCAGCUUGGAUUGGACCCCUAACCUGGGAACUUCCAUAUGCCGUGGGUGCAGCCCUAAAAAGACCAGGAAAAAGAAAAAAAGAAAGAAACAGAAUAUUGCAGAACAAAGAAGCCCUCCCUUGCCCUCUUUUAGCCAUACCUUGUGUUUGGAAGAAAUGUAACAUUUUAAUUUUUUCUUAAACUAUUCCUUUACUUUUGCCAAUUAUUAAUUUAGAAAUUUUAUAGUGUCACAGUAAACAUCAAUGAGCUAUGGGUCAAAUAUGCUAGGAGGUUUUGGACAUGUUUUCUUCACUCUUAAAAACAGAAUACAAGAAAGAAAUAAGUCCUCUUCCUCCUCUCUCACCUUUGGACUUUGUCCAAAUGUAUGAAAAUAUGAUGCUUAUCACUACUGAAAACAUCUUAUAACUAUAAGGGUUAAAAUCUAAGAAUAAAACCCAACAAUGUGAAGAGGGCAAAACAAAUGUGGAAAGAACCUGGGUGCAUGAUUGGGUCUUUAUUUUUUGAGAACUGCUCUAUUUCAGAUAUUCUGCUAUAUGAGACAAUAAAUUGUCUUUAUUAUUGAAGAUGCCUUUGGAUGUUUCUUCUUGCUUGUAUACAAUGAUAUUUUAAUAUCUUAUAAAUCCUUCAUAAAUUAGUCACCUUUUAUCAAUUCUCUCCCACUACAAUCUGGGUUCUACCUCCACCAUCCCAUUAAAACUUGCUCUCAACAACAUCACAAAUGAUUUUUCAUUUGUUAAAUUUCACGGACAUCUUUUAAUUCUUAAGCUUCUGUAUAUCUGGCAUUUUAUGCUGUUGACUACUCCUUCCCUGAACCUUACUCUUCCCAUAAUGUCAUACACCCUUUUCUUCUAAGCACCUUGGCCUAUUUUCUACACUCCUUCUAUUAUUUCUUAUCAUCUCCAUCUGUCCUUUUAAAUGAGGAUAUUUUAUAGUGAUUUCUCCAAACCCAUUUGUCAUUUUUACAAAGUCUCACUAUGUGAUCUCACCCUCUUACAUGAUUUUAGUUGUCACUUAAAAGAUGAUGAUACCUAAGUCUUUAUCUCUACACCUAACCUCUUCCAUGAUCUUCAGACCCUUAUAGUCCAAUUAUGUGUUAACUGUAUCCAAUUGAAUUUCAAAUGCACUUUAAACUCAAUAUAUAUCUUUCUAAGGAGGUGACAUUUACGUGGAUAUAUGAAUUAAGUGAGGGAGUGAACUUACAAAUACCUGGGGAAUGGGCAUUGCAGAAGGAAGGAAGAGCAAGCUUAAAGGCCCUGAUUACUAUGAUCUUAACACGUUUGGUUUAAGAGCUCAGCUGAUAUUCACCCAAGAGUGUUUCUUUUCUAAUUCAACAUCAGCCAGGAUUUCACCUAAUGACCUUUAGAAGGAGCUUAUCAGACAGCGCUAAGCUGUCCCCACAGUGAGUUGGGACAGUGAAAUGAAUUAUUCCACACUUAAUAUUAAGAAUAACAGGCAAUGUAUUUAAGAGAUUCCUCCUCUGUAAAUCUACUUCUGGUUUGCAUUUCUGAUUUUUUUUUUUUCUUUUUAGGGCUACACCUGCGGCAUAUGGAGUUUCCCAAGCUAGGGGUAAAUCAAAGCUGCAGCUGCCAGCCUACACCACAGCCAGAGCAACACCGGACGCUUAACCAACUGAGCAAGGCCAUGGAAUGAACCCAAAUCUUCAUGGAUACUAGUCAGAUUCCUUACUGCUGAGCCACAACAGGAACUCUAUAAUUCUGUGUUGUUGUUUCUGAUUUAUAAUAUUCUGUAAGACAUUGACAUUAUGUAUGAAAAUAUGAAACUGGGUUACUUGGAGAUGAAACUGGAGCUGCCAAAGAGGUAGAAAAAAAUUUUAAAUGCCGGAUGAGCUAAGUAAAUAAUCAGAGAAAUGGAGAAGAAAAAUGUUAUUCCAGAAGGGAGAAGAAAAAAAUACAUAUGAAAAUAACCAGCAUGUGGGUGACCUCAAUACAUAGUACAUCAUUUGUGAUAUUGAUAAUUAAAUAAUUAUAUGUUUAAGUAUGUUUUAAAAUGAUCACUGUUUACCAUGAAUAUAAAUAAAAACCAAAAUGCGUACUUUUCAGAUGAUAAAAGAAUAGAAUAUAAAGCAUAUAUUUUCUACUAAAGUAGAAAAUAGAUGUGAGAGAAAACAUAAAAUGAUAAAAUAAGAAGUUUUUAAUUCCAAAAAUAACUUUUAAAUGAAUCACCUUAUUAAAAAGACUUUCAGAUUAGAUUUAGAGAUAAAUUCAUCUAUUUGGUAUUUACAAGAUAGAUUUUUAAAGUAAGCAGUAUGAAAAAGCAAAAAUAAUUAGAUGUUAGGCACAGAUAUAUCAGCCAUGUAUAAUCAUAAGAAAAGUUUCACACUAUUAUUAUUUUAAAAAAUAGAAUUCAAAGUAAAAACAUAAACCUAGUGAAUUUUUUUUAAACUCUUGGACAAAGGAUACAAUCCACAAUGAAACUCUAAUAGUCAUAAUAGUCAUAAAUUUUCAUUCUCUAAAUAACAUACCAUCAAAACAUAAAAAUAAAAUGCUCUUUGAAAUACAAUUCAGCUGGGACUGCUCCAAAGGAACAGUGAAAUAAGAGAGCAGCAUCGAACUCUCAAGGCAUAUUCUAAUGUUUCUAGAAAAGAAGUAGUAAAAAGGAGGCUUUCUUCCAUUCUGUUUCACAAGUUACACAAAACCUAGAAAAUUCUCAAGCAAAGGAAAAGCAAAGUUUCUAGGAACAAAUGGCAGAGACCUAUUCAUCAUUCCUUAGCCCAUGAGAAUACAGGUUUGGAAGCAUCAACAGGAACACCUAUUUAGAAAAGUCCUGAGGGGGAUUCUCCAGCUGAGAGAAAUAUCUUGAAGUAGGAGAAGACUCAUCUUGGAGAUAGAAUACAUAAACCAAGGUGGAACAUGACUAAAAAUGUCCUGAUAGGAUGCUGGAGCUGGGAAAAUGUAGAGAUAGGAAGAAAUCUUGAACGGAGAAAGGAGGCAAGGAACUUUUGAGCAUUAAAACAUCCUUUAUUUUACAAAAUGCUAAUGUGUCCCUUAGGAUAACAUUUCAUUAGUAAUAAAAUCCUUGAAAAUAAUGGUUUAAAACGUAAAAAGUAUUUUUCUCUCAUUAGAAAUCCUAUGGUGGGUAAUCCAAAGCUGAUUAGGUGGCUCCACAAUGCCAUUAAUAACCCAGGCUCCUUUUCAUCUUCUUCUCAUUCUCGGACUUCUUUAGCAUAUAACUGUUAUAUUUGUGUCUAUAGCAUGAUCACAAGAUGGCUGCUCUAACCCCAGUCUCAUGUCUAAGU